GACGAACGCUGGCGGCGUGCUUAACACAUGCAAGUCGAACGGAAAGGCCCUGCUUUUGUGGGGUGCUCGAGUGGCGAACGGGUGAGUAACACGUGAGUAACCUGCCCCUGACUUUGGGAUAACUUCAGGAAACUGGGGCUAAUACCGGAUAGGAGCUCCUGCUGCAUGGUGGGGGUUGGAAAGUUUCGGCGGUUGGGGAUGGACUCGCGGCUUAUCAGCUUGUUGGUGGGGUAGUGGCUUACCAAGGCUUUGACGGGUAGCCGGCCUGAGAGGGUGACCGGCCACAUUGGGACUGAGAUACGGCCCAGACUCCUACGGGAGGCAGCAGUGGGGAAUAUUGCACAAUGGGCGGAAGCCUGAUGCAGCAACGCCGCGUGCGGGAUGACGGCCUUCGGGUUGUAAACCGCUUUCGCCUGUGACGACGCGUGAGUGACGGUAAUGGGUAAAGAAGCACCGGCUAACUACGUG
Molecule: ribosomal RNA, 468 nt
Filed under: uncultured bacterium
Lineage: Bacteria
Description: partial 16S ribosomal RNA
Rfam family: Bacterial small subunit ribosomal RNA
Source: RNAcentral